Molecule: long non-coding RNA, 151 nt
Organism: Prionailurus viverrinus (fishing cat)
Lineage: Eukaryota; Metazoa; Chordata; Mammalia; Carnivora; Felidae
Exons: 3
Source: RefSeq, a predicted model, not a curated record
UCUUAACCCCCGUAUCAGAUAUAUGAUUUGCAGUUAUUUUCUCCAAUUUAGUAGGUUGCCUUUUCAUUUUGUUGAUGGUUUCCUUUGCUGUGCAGAAGCUUUUUAGUAUGAUGUUGUCCCACUUGUUUACUUUUAUUGCUUUCACUUUUUG